ACAAUGCGCAGGCAAUCCACAGCAGCUGCCCCUGCAAAUGUCAGCGCCAGCCCAGUCAAAAGAGCUUGAAACCUACCAAGCCGGAGGACUGUGCUGUGCCUCUCUCGCCCACAUUUUCCCCAAGCACUCUCAGGAACCUGGCAACAGAUGGAUAUCUGAGAACCAGCGAACUUUCUUUACCUCCUAGUAUCAUUUCAUGAAAAUUAGUAGCACCUGCACAAUGGGGCCUUGGAGACAGGAAUAAAAGGAAAAAUCUGGAAUGGAAUCACAUGACGCAACAGGCUAUGAAGACUCCCUGCCCGGCUGCUAUAUGUCUGGUAAACAGAAUAAAUAGCACUUGAGCA
RNAcentral lists this non-coding RNA (344 nucleotides) under Pan troglodytes (chimpanzee). The record is from RNAcentral. Lineage: Eukaryota; Metazoa; Chordata; Mammalia; Primates; Hominidae.